RNAcentral lists this ribosomal RNA (497 nucleotides) under uncultured bacterium. RNAcentral's name for it is "partial 16S ribosomal RNA". It matches the Rfam family "Bacterial small subunit ribosomal RNA", at positions 28 to 507 of the family's 1533-position model. The record is from RNAcentral.
GAUGAACGCUGGCGGCGUGCCUAAUACAUGCAAGUCGAGCGAACGGACGAGAAGCUUGCUUCUCUGAUGUUAGCGGCGGACGGGUGAGUAACACGUGGAUAACCUACCUAUAAGACUGGGAUAACUUCGGGAAACCGGAGCUAAUACCGGAUAAUAUUUUGAACCGCAUGGUUCAAAAGUGAAAGACGGUCUUGCUGUCACUUAUAGAAGGAUCCGCGCUGCAUUAGCUAGUUGGUAAGGUAACGGCUUACCAAGGCAACGAUGCAUAGCCGACCUGAGAGGGUGAUCGGCCACCCUGGAGCUGAGACACGGUCCAGACUACUACGGGAGGCAGCAGUAGGGAAUCUUACGCAAUGGGCGAAAGCCUGACGGAGCAACGGCGCGUGAGAGAUGAAGGUCUUCGGAUCGUAAAACUCUGUUAUGAGGGAAGAACAGAUGUGUAAGUAACUGUGCACAUCUUGACGGUACCUAAUCAGAAAGCCACGGCUAACUACGUG